GCUAGUAAUGGCAGGUCAGCAUACUGCCGUGAAUACGUUCCCGGGCCUUGUACACACCGCCCGUCACACCAUGAGAGUUGGGGAUACCCGAAGCCUGUGAGCUAACAGUAAUGAAGCAGCAGUCGAAGGUAGAAUCAAUGAUUGGGGUGAAGUCGUAACAAGGUAAC
This 167-nucleotide ribosomal RNA is filed under the name uncultured bacterium. RNAcentral describes it as "partial 16S ribosomal RNA". It matches the Rfam family "Bacterial small subunit ribosomal RNA", at positions 1334 to 1500 of the family's 1533-position model. The record is from RNAcentral.